This 678-nucleotide ribosomal RNA is filed under the name Hydroptila sp. HY01. Its description in RNAcentral is "SSU rRNA". It matches the Rfam family "Eukaryotic small subunit ribosomal RNA", at positions 492 to 1152 of the family's 1831-position model. The record is from RNAcentral. Lineage: Eukaryota; Metazoa; Arthropoda; Insecta; Trichoptera; Hydroptilidae.
CUCCGAGGCCUCGUGAUCGGAAUGAUCACACUUUAAAUCCUCUAACGAGGAUCCAUUGGAGGGCAAGUCUGGUGCCAGCAGCCGCGGUAAUUCCAGCUCCAAUAGCAUAUACUAAAGUUGUUGCGGUUAAAAAGCUCGUAGUUGAAAUUGCGUCCCGCGGCGUCCGUCUACCGAUUGCGGUACGAUGGGCGCGUCUGCGGGACUUCUCGCCGGUGCGUCUUCCGCCUGCUCGGCUCGCGCCUUGCACGCGCGGAAUUCGUCGCGGCUAUUUACUUUGAACAAAUUAGAGUGCUCAAAGCGGGCUGUUUUUCGCCUGAAUAUUGUACGCAUGGAAUAAUAGAAUAGGACCUCGGUUCUGUUUUGUUGGCUUUCUGACACCGGAGGUAAUGAUUAAUAGGGACAACUGGGGGCAUUCGUAUUGCGACGUUAGAGGUGAAAUUCUUGGAUCGUCGCAAGACGAACUAAAGCGAAAGCAUUUCCCAAAGGUGUUUUCAUUAAUCAAGAACGAAAGUUAGAGGUUCGAAGGCGAUUAGAUACCGCUGUAGUUCUAACCAUAAAUGAUGCCAGCCAGCGAUCCGCCGAAGUAUCUUUUUUAAAUUACUCGGUGGGCAGCUCCCGGGAAACCAAAGCUUUCGGGCUCCGGGGGGAGUAUGGUUGCAAAGCUGAAACUUAAAGGAA